GCCGGUGACAAACCGGAGGAAGGUGGGGAUGACGUCAAGUCAUCAUGGCCCUUACGGCCUGGGCUACACACGUGCUACAAUGGUCGGUACAAAGGGUUGCCAAGCCGCGAGGUGGAGCUAAUCCCAUAAAACCGAUCGUAGUCCGGAUCGCAGUCUGCAACUCGACUGCGUGAAGUCGGAAUCGCUAGUAAUCGUGAAUCAGAAUGUCACGGUGAAUACGUUCCCGGGCCUUGUACACACCGCCCGUCACACCAUGGGAGUGGGUUGCACCAGAAGUAGCUAGUCUAACCUUCGGGAGGACGGUUACC
RNAcentral lists this ribosomal RNA (308 nucleotides) under Pseudomonas sp. Its description in RNAcentral is "bacterial SSU rRNA". It matches the Rfam family "Bacterial small subunit ribosomal RNA", at positions 1151 to 1458 of the family's 1533-position model. Lineage: Bacteria; Pseudomonadati; Pseudomonadota; Gammaproteobacteria; Pseudomonadales; Pseudomonadaceae. The record is from RNAcentral.